UACAGAGGGUGCAAACGUUGUUCGGAAUUACUGGGCGUAAAGCGUGUGUAGGCGGUCGUGUCAGUCGGGCGUGAAAGCCCCGGGCUCAACCCGGGAAGUGCACUCGAUACUGCAGGACUUGAGUUUCGGAGAGGUUGGUAGAAUUCUUGGUGUAGAGGUGAAAUUCGUAGAUAUCAAGAGGAAUACCGGUGGCGAAGGCGGCCAACUGGACGAAAACUGACGCUGAGACACGAAAGCAUGGGGAGCAAACAGG
This 253-nucleotide ribosomal RNA is filed under the name uncultured bacterium. Its description in RNAcentral is "partial 16S ribosomal RNA". It matches the Rfam family "Bacterial small subunit ribosomal RNA", at positions 524 to 776 of the family's 1533-position model. The record is from RNAcentral.